AGGAGAAUAGCUCAAUUUGGUAGAGCAACGGUCUCCAAAACCGUCGGUUGGGGGUUCGAGUCCCUCUUCUCCUGCCA
RNAcentral lists this transfer RNA (77 nucleotides) under Puniceicoccales bacterium. RNAcentral's name for it is "tRNA-Trp". It matches the Rfam family "tRNA". From Rfam's summary of the family: Transfer RNA (tRNA) molecules are approximately 80 nucleotides in length. Lineage: Bacteria; Pseudomonadati; Verrucomicrobiota; Opitutia; Puniceicoccales. The record is from RNAcentral.